Molecule: long non-coding RNA, 1615 nt
Organism: Ipomoea nil (Japanese morning glory)
Lineage: Eukaryota; Viridiplantae; Streptophyta; Magnoliopsida; Solanales; Convolvulaceae
Exons: 2
Source: RefSeq, a predicted model, not a curated record
UGAAUUGAAGCCCCUCAUCAUCAUCAUCAUCAUCCUAAUCACUAUGAAGAUGAUAAAGUUUACAUGGUCGCGCUGCGGCCCCAUCCGCCAAUGGCGCCAUGCCAAAGGAUCAAGCUCAGCUCAUCACCACAUUUCUCGCCGUCGAAAGAGGGAUUGCCGUAGUUUGCGCAGCAGCAAACGCUGGCCCAUCCCCCGUACCCUGUGGAACGAGACACCGUGGAUAUUCACCGUCUGGUUGCCGCCUCCACCAUCCACCGCUAUUUCCAGUCGCAAGUCAUCUUUGGCGACAACACAGUCAUCAAGGUAUGUAGUCAACACAAACAACCUUAAACCAAAUUCUGCGAAACAAUGUAUGUAUUUCAAUGGUUAUAGCUAAAAGUCAGUGAAAAUUUGCAGUACUAUAUAUAUAUAUGUUAAUGUGGUGUUAAUUUGUUUCAGGGAUUGUUUGCCUGAGACGUUAAACCCUGUUAAGGCUAGUGGGAAAAUUAUUCUGAGCCAAACUAAUAUGUAUGAGUCUAAGUAUUCCUUAAUUAAAUGUAUGUUGAGAAUUCAUAAUAGAAUUAUAUUAAAAAAAAAAAAAAAAAGUAAUUUUAAAUGGCAAAUGCAUGAUGUUUACCGGGUUGAAUAUAGAUAACUGAAGAUUUGGUGGCCUCCUCUUCAGUAAUAGUUGAUCCAAGAAAUUCACCGAAAUUUAGGGAAAUCAUUCUUUUUUAUUUGGACACUAUGAAAAUUAUACCUAAGCCGCCUGUGCGUAUGACUUCUGUUUGUCUAACCAAUAAGGGUAUCCUCAAUAGUUGAAUUUUACCCCAAAUUUUUGUGGGUUUCAACAUCCACCUCAAAAUCUCCCCUUCCCAUUUGUGAAAAACUUGACAAAGAAAAUUAUACUAUUUCAAAAUCUUCCUAAAUUUUUGGAGUAAAAUCCCCAACUAUUGAUGAUGCCCUUAUUGGUUAGACAAACAGAAGUCAUACGCGCAGAUGGUUUAGAUAUAAUUUUCAUAGUCUCCAGACAAAAAAGACUGAUUUUCUUAAAUUUGGGUGAAUUUCUUGGAUCAACUAUUACUGAAGAGGAGGCCACCCAAAUCUUCAGUUAUCUAUAUUCAACCCGGUAAACAUCAUGCAUUUGCCAUUUAAAAUUACUUUUUUUUUUUUUUAAUAUAAUUCUAUUAUGAAUUCUCAACAUACAUUUAAUUAAUUUUUGUGAAUUAAGGAAUCUUGUUGCAAGAACUCUCCCCACAAUAACAGUAAUCGGGUCUAAACCAGCCCCGGUACUAAUAGACUUCUCAUCGCGGGGACCCUCUCUUGCUAGCGUAAAUCUUCUUAAACCAGACAUUUCUGCACCCGGCGUUGAUAUUUUGACUGAAACUCAAGUUUCAGUGUUUCUGUCAUCAGAUCUGCACUUAUGACCACAGAUAACAACCACAACGUACAAUUUUUUUUUUUCUUUUAAUUUUUCUGUGUAUAACACCCUGUAUGUGGACUAGUGGAAAGUAUAGAGUUAGAAGCCCAAUUGUUAUGGCUGUGUAAGGGAGUUAGAUUGCUAGACAUGUGAACUGAUUCAAAACGUACGUCCAAAAGACAUGUUAAACAUCAAUGAAUAUAUCUUUGUUGAAAGAUG